CCGUUAAAUUGUCUUUGAAUCUUCUCAAGUUCACUUUCUAAAGGGUCUUAAGGGAAGGAAGUGAUUUCAAAACACGCCAGAAACCGUUUCCAGAAUUUCUGCAGCCAGCCGUGGUGGGAACUUGGUAUAGACACUGUGCUGCCUCUUCUGUUUUUGCCAAAAAGACCUAGAAAGCCGGACAAAAUACACGGAGCACGUGGAUUUGGACAUCGGGACAAGAGCCUGCUCAGGAGGAUGGGAGCGGAUGAGGAAGUGGAGCGUUUCCCCAAAAGUUGGUUUGCCGUUUGGGAGACAGAGCUCUCGGAGGCCGGUUCUGCCCUGGUUCCCACGCGGAUUGCAAUAGCACUGCACCCACGGCAUGGCUACAAAGGAAGGAAGCAGCCCCCCAGGUGAGCCCCGGAACCCAUCCCCUUUCUGCACAGAGGUGAGUACGUGGAAGACCCCGGCCCAGGGCACCCUCCCCAGGGACCCGAGGGGAGCUGCAGCUGCAGGCGGUUACAGAACAGAAGCACAAGGAGGGAAAGAGGUUUCUGACAGCAGAGAUCCAACAGGAGGGACAACCCCGUCCUCUGGCCGCGUCUCCUGGAGUGGGCAGGGGCUGUGUGGGAGCGCCUCCUGCGUCCAGGUGGCCCCCCUGCCCCGCCCUCCUCUGUAAGGGCAUCUGAAGGUAGAGGCUGACUCUGGGGGGAAGAUCAGGGGCCCAUUCUCAUUACUCGCGGAUUCCAUAACUGUGAAUUCUCUUAUUCACUAAAAUUUAUUUGUCGCCUCAACAUCAACGCUUGGCGCUUUCCCGGACGUUCUCGACAUUCUCGGACCUUCGCAGAGAGGUGACACAUCUGAUGUGCGCGUGCCCAGGCUGAACCGGGGCAUGCUCUGCCUUCUCCUUCGGGUCACUAUGCUCAAAUGUCCUCUUCAGUCCAUCCAGUACUGUGCGUCUCACAUUUGUGUGUUUUUGCUGGUGAUCUCGCAGUUUAAAGUGGCCCCCGGCAGCAAGCAGUGCUGUCUGGUGCGCUAGGGUGCGCCCCACGGGGAGAACGCAGGUGCACAUGAGCCAGGGUCGGGAGGUCAGUGCCGAUGCGUCAACGGUGCGUACGAAAUAAGGUAUCUUUACACAGAAGCACGCAUCAAGCAAGGUCACAUAGGGACUGAUGGACAACAGUGUGACCAGAGACUUUCGGGAACCGAUCUGCUUUCCCCCCGGGAGCGACGACGGUUCAGUGUUCUCGAAUUCAGGGUCAGCAGCGACUUGACGCUAUCGAGGAUCUGCUCUAAUUCGGAGAAUGCUAGAGAGAGAGCAGCAGAACCCACACCGUGGUCCGGCUAUGAAAGGGCCUGGCGUGCCUGUGUCGGAGCCUUGGGGUCUCCCCGGCUAAGCUGCCGGCACAGACGCUUUUGCAUUCGGGGCGUUUCUGUGGGUGGAUGCUGUGGGUUGGCCCCACAGCCAUCUCAGCCUCCUGCCUGGCCAGCACCAGUUGCAGAAGCGGAAGCCAAGUACUUGCUUUUCCGUCUCCCUGCUGCUCAGGGGGCUCCCGAGACCGUGUCCUGGCGCACGAGCUGUGAACUGGUCUCCUGGGAGUGGGGCCCCAGGGAGCAGCUUUGGCUCCCUAAUGCGGGGUCUCCGGCCCCACCUCCUCUUCCGGCCCAGCACGGAGCUGAGGGCUGCUUUGUUUUUCACUUUGCCAAGUGUUUUUCUUUACAGUGCUUCCCCCUGAUUUGCUCCAAGACCCCCAGGGGAUGCCUGAAACCGUGGAUAGUACCAAGCCCUGGAUAUCCUGUGCUCUCCUCGACAUACAGACCUGUGAUAGAGUUUAAUUUAUAAACCAGGCCCAGUAAGAGAUUAGCAACAGUAACUACUAAUAAGCUAGAACCAUCACAACAGAAUACUGUAAUGAACGUUGUGCGGAUGUGGUCUCUCUCUCUCAAAAUACCUUGCUGUGCUGUGCCCGCCUUCCCGCUCCUUGUGCCCACAUGAGAUGACAGUAUGCCCACGAGGUGGGAUGAAGUCAGAGGGUGGCACGGGCCGGGCACAGCUCGGGCCCCCAGUCUGUUCCUGGCCAUGGGAGGCAAACAUACCAGUGCCUCACGGGCCACCGAUCUCUGAGAUCCUGAUGGUCCGUGAAGGAGCCUGCCCCUCGUGCGAAUGCCCGCUGGUCGUUUGUGAGCCGCAGCAGCGCUUCUGGGCUCCGGUCCGGGCUUGGCCGCCUCCCGGCUGCGUAGCAUGGGACCUGCGGGCCGCCGCGCCCCGGCACUGUCAUCAGCGCAGAAGCCCUGACACCGGGAACGGUGUUCGACACAGGCUUGGAGCUCAAUAAAUAUUUGGAAGAUCGAAGCUUGCCUCUGGCUGCCAUUGUACGUGCGGAGCGGCAGGGCCCAGGAAAAGGCUCAGAGCCGAGUGGGCCAGCGGUCGAUGCCGAUCGGUGCCGGCUGUCACCGUCCAGUGGGGCCAGGGGCAGUGUCUGCGGACGGCGGGCCUGUGGCGGCUUGAGACGCCGGUUAGGUUUCGUGGCUGCACCGCGAGAGCCUUCCUCCCGGCCUGGCUCGCUCAUCUCUCCCCUUCCCACCCGCACUGCUUUCUCUCAGCCCGGGCGAACUUCGUCCUUGAGCUGCAAGAAGUCACCUUCACUCUCCCUUGGCGGGAAUGCGACGUCCAGGUGGUUCAGGCCUUGUCAGGGCUGACCAAGCAGCCUGGUUCCUCAGCCUGCGGUGCCUGCCCCCGGUGAGCUGGUCGGCUGGGUUCAUUCGUAUCAGGCACGAUGGUCUGCUCGGUCUCCCCGAGGAGCAGGACAAGCUCUGUAGGGGCCGGGUGAUGUCCACAUCCUCCCACCCAGAACUAUUAUCUUACACAGCAGAAGACGCGAUCACGGUAAGGAUCUUGAGAGGAGGAGAAGUGUAUGGGGAUUAGCGGCGGGCCCUAAGUCCCGUCACGUGUGCCCUUAGGGAGGGAGGCAGGGGGAGGCCAGAUGGACACACAGAGAAGCCGGAGCAGAGAGAGAUGGGGUCACAGCCAGGGAUGUCGGGGGCCCCCCAGGAGCUGGAAGAGGCAGGAAGGGUCGUCCCCAGAUCUCCGGAGGGAGCACGGCUAACAGCUCGAUUUCAGACUUCUGGCCUCCAGAACUUUGAGAGAAGAAAUUCCUUUUGUUUUAAGCCACCUCGUUCGUAGUAAUUUGUUCUGGAAGCCCUAGGACACAAACACAGGCAUUUUUAUCUUUGUGCCUUUGUUCUUUCAUUUUCACACUUGGUUCAUCCUGGUCUCCUCCCGCCGGGCUGAGUGCAUUCUCUGCGGCCUAGCAGAGAGCGUCUUCACGCGUCCCGCAUGACCUCGCCUUCCUGGGACCCCAGCGCCCGUGGCUGCACUCGGAGCUGCAGAUCUGGUUCACUGUCUGGGGCACAGCCUGGCCAUCGGGCUUUAAAAAGCUGUCCUGCAGAUCCCAGCUCAGUGAUUCAAGCCCAGGCUGGUCCCGCUCCGAGUGGGGGGCGGUGCGUCCUGGCGGGUGGCCCCUUAGCUGGGCCCAGAGGCACAGAGCCGGCUUGGCCCACGCUUAGCACGGCCUCUCUCUGCAGACAGCGAGCGUCUGUCGGGCUAGACCGAGCACCCUGACCAUGGCGGCUGCUAACACCUGUAUUUUAAUUUUUCUGGACUUUCUGAAACGUGGCUGAGACGUGUUGAACACGCAGAGAAGACCGUCCCUCUCCUCCCUCUGUUUGAGCUGUGAAAGCGGUAAACCCACUCAGGGAGUGCCGUUACUUGAUGACUCUUGUUUGCCUCAUUGCUUGAGCCGGAGGAUAGAUAACGGCCAAGGUCCUGGUACCAGUGCGUGGAGUCAGGAGCAAAGCCGCGGCUCUUAGGAGUGGCGUGCGCAGCCCAAGGACUUGGCCUCACCCUGGGAGCCUGGCUGGGGUGGCCGCUCGGCUGUGACCGGGCAGCCAGUCAGACCACGAGCCCCUGUGCCCUGAGGUGCCCUGUCCCAGCAGGGAAGCCAGCGGUGCUGGCUCGCGGGAUCGAGCGGCUCCCAUCCCCAGACCCGUCUUGGUCAGAAGGGGCAGCGUCUCCAAGCCCUAGGACUUCUGGGUCCCAGGCCCCCGUCCAAGUGGUCAGACGCCUUCUCCCUUCGGCGAUCUGCCUCAGCUGAAAACGUUCACGGCAUUUGCGAUGGCGCUUGAAUCCCCUUCAAAUGCUGCUCUCCCUGAGGGGACCCUCCUGCCUGGCAGCCAUUGAAGGAAAAGAGAGAACAUUCCCCUGUGCCGAUUUUAUUAAUUAAAAAUGUUUAUCUUCUUAUAUUUGAAUGAGUAACACAUUCACAGGCUCAAAAUCCAGAAGGCACCCCCACCCCAUAUUAGCGAUCAAAACGGCGUGGUGUUUGUUGGCAGGGAGAAAGACGUGCCGACCGGCACGACCGCACAGAUGGCCCCACCGGCUGCCCCACUGAUCGGCGACGAGGGGCAAAGCAGUGCAACCGAGGA
Ailuropoda melanoleuca (giant panda) is the source of this 4461-nucleotide long non-coding RNA. RefSeq lists it as uncharacterized. Lineage: Eukaryota; Metazoa; Chordata; Mammalia; Carnivora; Ursidae. The record is from RefSeq and is a predicted model, not a curated record. The transcript is spliced from 3 exons.